CCCUUAGAUGCUCUGGGCCGCACGCGCGCUACACUGACGAAUGCAACGAGCUUAUAACCUUGUCCGAAAGGUCUGGGUAAUCUCCAAAUUUCGUCGUGAUGGGGAUAGAUUAUUGCAAUUAUUAAUCUUCAACGAGGAAUGCCUAGUAAGCGCAAGUCAUCAGCUUGCGUUGAUUACGUCCCUGCCCUUUGUACACACCGCCCGUCGCUCCUACCGAUUGAAUGGUCCGGUGAAGCGUUCGGACCGUGGCCUUUGGACGGUUCGCCGUCUGUUGGCUGCGGGAAGUUCGUUAAACCUUAUCAUUUAGAGGAAGGAGAAGUCGUAACA
RNAcentral lists this ribosomal RNA (327 nucleotides) under uncultured eukaryote. RNAcentral describes it as "partial 18S ribosomal RNA". It matches the Rfam family "Eukaryotic small subunit ribosomal RNA", at positions 1470 to 1796 of the family's 1831-position model. The record is from RNAcentral.